CAGGUCCGCCUUCGAGGGUGCUACACAGAUGCUGCAUGGUUGUCGUCAGCUCGUGUCGUGAGAUGUACCGUUAAGUCGGGAAACGAGCGCAACCCUUUUCUUAUGUUUUAUAUGUCAUAAGAUACUGCCCGUUUUAAAUGGGAGGAAGGUGGGAUGACGUCAAAUCAGCAUGGUUCUUACACCUUGGGCAACACACGUGCUACAAUGGGAAGUACAAAGGGACGCCAGAUCGCGAGAUGGAGCAAAUCCCUAAAAACUUUUCUCAGUUCGGAUUGGAGUCUGCAACUCGACUCCAUGAAGCUGGAAUCGCUAGUAAUCGUGGAUCAGCUAUGCCACGGUGAAUACGUUCUCG
This 352-nucleotide ribosomal RNA is filed under the name uncultured bacterium. RNAcentral describes it as "SSU rRNA". It matches the Rfam family "Bacterial small subunit ribosomal RNA", at positions 1010 to 1376 of the family's 1533-position model. The record is from RNAcentral.